RNAcentral lists this transfer RNA (65 nucleotides) under Tarnania fenestralis. RNAcentral's name for it is "tRNA-Ala". It matches the Rfam family "tRNA". From Rfam's summary of the family: Transfer RNA (tRNA) molecules are approximately 80 nucleotides in length. Their secondary structure includes four short double-helical elements and three loops (D, anti-codon, and T loops). Lineage: Eukaryota; Metazoa; Arthropoda; Insecta; Diptera; Mycetophilidae. The record is from RNAcentral.
AGGGUUAUAGUUAAAUUAACAUUUGAUUUGCAUUCAAAAAAUAUUGAUAAACUCAAUUUUCCUUA